This 200-nucleotide unclassified non-coding RNA is filed under the name Tomentella sp. RNAcentral describes it as "partial internal transcribed spacer 2". Lineage: Eukaryota; Fungi; Basidiomycota; Agaricomycetes; Thelephorales; Thelephoraceae. The record is from RNAcentral.
UUAAGUUCAGCGGGUAGUCCUACCUGAUUUGAGAUCAAACAUUCAAAGAGCUGUCCUCACUGAGGAGAGACGUUUAUGAGCCCCAGCGAACCCUCACCACUGAAGGUUACGGUUACCUGAUGGAAAACCACAAGCGUAGAUAGUUAUCACACCCGUGAUGCCACCAAACACUGGCAAGCUAAUUCUUUUGAGAGGAGCCA